CGAGUCUUUUGCCCAGGCUUUUGCCCAUUAUUUUAUCUUUAAAGAACGCAAAUUUGCCAACGAUUGGGCGCUCAUAUCACUGUUCUCUCUGUCCGAAACGGUGUACACUUUCAAGUUUGAUUCAAUUUUGAUUUUGUCGACAGUGUCGUCUGGGAUCUGUUGCGCUUUAAAGAGGAAUUCUUUCACCAUGCUUUCAGGAUCUUCACCCUCAUUUUCUUCAAUACUAGUAACUACCAGAUUUUCUCACAUGGAUCUAUUCUGUAUUCCAAAUCUCCUGGUCCAGCCUGAUAUCUCCCUGACUCAAUGGGAGGGGUCUCCAGGGGCCACCUGGAGCCUGAGGUGUUCAGGGGCCACAGCUUCACCCUCACUUAUUCCACUCAGCCACAGUACCCAGGAGGCUCUUUCCACUUCACGUUCACCAGCUCCAACAGAACCCAGACAGCUGUAAAUCACUCUGCUGCCUUCCUCUUCCCUGCUGUAGAUGACUCCCACCAAAGGAAUUACAGCUGUGUUUAUGAGAAUUAUGUUUUCUCUCAUAACUUCUACUCUGAGAGUGAGUUCCUCUCCCUCACAGCCUCUCCUCUGCCCACCUUCAUCAUCAGACAUGUUGUAGUGCUGCUGAUCCUACUGACAGCCAUCACUGCCUUCUACCUGUACUUCAAGCGUGUUGUGCUCCAUAACAGCAAGGUGGGUCACCUCCCUCAUGCCGCCACUUUAGGGUAUUUUUCAGCAGGGCCUGUGGAAGGACUCCAGAUAACCUGAGUGUUACAAAGGGAAAAG
This 780-nucleotide long non-coding RNA is filed under the name Salmo salar (Atlantic salmon). RNAcentral's name for it is "lncRNA (ENSSSAG00000085079.1, ENSSSAG00000112548.1)". The record is from RNAcentral. Lineage: Eukaryota; Metazoa; Chordata; Actinopteri; Salmoniformes; Salmonidae.